GACGAACGCUGGCGGCGUGCCUAAUACAUGCAAGUCGAGCGAUGAAGAUUGGUGCUUGCACCAAUUUGAAGAGCAGCGAACGGGUGAGUAACGCGUGGGGAAUCUGCCUUUGAGCGGGGGACAACAUUUGGAAACGAAUGCUAAUACCGCAUAACAACUUUAAACAUAAGUUUUAAGUUUGAAAGAUGCAAUUGCAUCACUCAAAGAUGAUCCCGCGUUGUAUUAGCUAGUUGGUGAGGUAAAGGCUCACCAAGGCGAUGAUACAUAGCCGACCUGAGAGGGUGAUCGGCCACAUUGGGACUGGGACACGGCCCAAACUCCUACGGGAGGCAGCAGUAGGGAAUCUUCGGCAAUGGACGAAAGUCUGGCCGGGCAACGCCGCGUGAGUGAAGAAGGUUUUCGGAUCGUAAAACUCUGUUGGUAGAGAAGAACGUUGGUGAGAGUGGAAAGCUCAUCAAGUGACGGUAACUACCCAGAAAGGGACGGCUAACUACGUG
RNAcentral lists this ribosomal RNA (497 nucleotides) under uncultured bacterium. Its description in RNAcentral is "partial 16S ribosomal RNA". It matches the Rfam family "Bacterial small subunit ribosomal RNA", at positions 28 to 507 of the family's 1533-position model. The record is from RNAcentral.